Molecule: long non-coding RNA, 446 nt
Organism: Gorilla gorilla gorilla (western lowland gorilla)
Lineage: Eukaryota; Metazoa; Chordata; Mammalia; Primates; Hominidae
Exons: 3
Source: RefSeq, a predicted model, not a curated record
CUGUGUGACUAACAAGCCCCAAAUCUCAGGAACUGCAACACAGAGGUUCACUGUUCCUGAUCACAGGUCUGCAGAUGGGCUGUCUCUGAUCCACACCACGGCCUCCCUUUCUGGCUAGAGUACAAUGGCAAGGUCUCAGCUCACUGCAACCUCCACCUCCCAGGUUCAAGCGAUUCUCCUGCCUCAGCCUCCCAAGUAGCUGGGAUUACAGGCACAUGCCACCACACUCAGGGCUCCCAGGCUGAAGGUCCUGAUGCUUCAGCAUAAGCCAAAGCAUUCCCACCUGAGAGAGACCAGGAAGGAAGGACAAAACGAGGACCCAUGGAGGACACCAGGCAGUGUGGCCCCUGCACCCACCCCACUAGCUGGACAGGCUACUCAGCAUUGGUGACCCCUGCCUGCCUCCAGGUCCCUUUCCAUUCCUGGUGACCCCAGGCAGAGCCCCC